CAGGUAUCGUGAGGGAAGUAUGGGGUAGUACGAGAGGAACUCCCAUGCCGUGCCUCUGGUUUCUGGAGUUUGUCGAACGGCAAGUGCUCCGACGCUAUCGCACGGUGGUUCUCGGCUGAACGCCUCUAAAGCCAGAAGCCAGUCCCAAGACCAGAUGCCCACUCAACAACAAAAAGUAUGUAUUUUGUGUUGCUUGUUUUGCUGAGUGUGUCAUAUAUAUAUAUAUAUAUAUAUAUAUAUCUAUCUAUAUAUAUGUAUAUGUAUGCAGCUGUCUUUUUUGGGAAGAGUAGAGAAGGAAGAGGUAAUACUUCACCGGCGCGGCGGGGGGAGGAGCGGCACGCAUGGGUUUUCCUGUGUGUGUGUGUGUCUGCGUAAUGUAUAGAUGUUUAU
This 390-nucleotide non-coding RNA is filed under the name Trypanosoma cruzi marinkellei. RNAcentral's name for it is "Eukaryotic large subunit ribosomal RNA". It matches the Rfam family "Eukaryotic large subunit ribosomal RNA", at positions 3004 to 3401 of the family's 3401-position model. The record is from Rfam by way of RNAcentral. Lineage: Eukaryota; Euglenozoa; Kinetoplastea; Trypanosomatida; Trypanosomatidae.